UACGUAGGGGGCAAGCGUUAUCCGGAUUUAUUGGGUUUAAAGGGUGCGUAGGCGGGUUAUCAAGUCAGCGGUAAAAUCGUGGAGCUCAACUCCAUCCAGCCGUUGAAACUGAUGUUCUUGAGUGGGCGAGAAGUACGCGGAAUGCGUGGUGUAGCGGUGAAAUGCAUAGAUAUCACGCAGAACCCCGAUUGCGAAGGCAGCGUACCGGCGCCCAACUGACGCUGAAGCACGAAAGCGUGGGUAUCGAACAGG
RNAcentral lists this ribosomal RNA (252 nucleotides) under uncultured Bacteroidales bacterium. Its description in RNAcentral is "partial 16S ribosomal RNA". It matches the Rfam family "Bacterial small subunit ribosomal RNA", at positions 524 to 776 of the family's 1533-position model. Lineage: Bacteria; Pseudomonadati; Bacteroidota; Bacteroidia; Bacteroidales. The record is from RNAcentral.